Electrophorus electricus (electric eel) is the source of this 408-nucleotide long non-coding RNA. Lineage: Eukaryota; Metazoa; Chordata; Actinopteri; Gymnotiformes; Gymnotidae. The record is from Ensembl.
CAGGGGUUUGCAUGACUGUGUUUCAGACCUUCCACAGGAGCUGGAGCUUAAUGUGAAGUCGAGAGCCCGACCCAGGUCUUAUUCCAGCACCUCCAUAGAUGAUGCUAUGAAGAAGGUGGAGGACCCCCCCCACUCCUCCACCGCGCCCUCACAAGACUCACUCCCGCGCCUCCUCCCUCGACCUCAACAAACUCCUCCAGCAGAGUAGCCAGGGUGUGAAGAGCCUGACCCAUCCACCUGCCCUUCCACCGCGGCCACCAGUAUCCCAGAUGACCCACUUCCUCCCUGACAAGAACUCCCAGCAGACCUUGCAGCAGCACUGCUUUGCAGACUUUAGCAAACUCAGAGAAGAGGUGAGAAAAAUACAUACACACACACACACACACCCUCAGACACUCCUUCCUUGUG